CAUAAAAAGCUAUCCCUUAUGGCAAAGGAAAAGAAAAUGCACAUCCCAUGGCACACAAUGAUAAUGUGUUAUCAAAAGCUGCAUUGGCCCAACGUGCACGGCGAGAACGUGAAAAAAAUCAAAAGCCAUGUUCUGCAUACCAAUUGGGACAACGCCUGCGACGAGAACGAGAAAGAGAAAGAUCGAAGGAAUGUAUUAACCCAAGACAACCUUCUUUAACACCAAAUUGGCCUCCUCCUACAACUCCAUGUAGAAAUGUUGGUGU
This is a non-coding RNA of Camellia sinensis, 265 nucleotides long. NCBI's taxonomy places the organism in Eukaryota, Viridiplantae, Streptophyta, Magnoliopsida, Ericales, Theaceae. The record is from RefSeq and is a predicted model, not a curated record.